GAAUACAACCGGAAGAUGAACUGUCAAAGUUGGCGCAUUAUUUGAAGAUCUCUGCAACAAUGUAAAUAUAUAUUAAUUUGGCUUGUCUAUCCACUUAUGAACUUCCUUUGACAUAAAAAGCCUAUUUGCUUGCAUAAUUAUAGAAAUGUAGAGGUAUUCCAACAACUGUCAGUAACAUAUUAGGGCCUGGGCUUGGUGUUUUUUUAACCACAACUUUACUUUUAAUAGUCUAUUAUUAUAAUUCAGUGGCGGGUUUAAGGGGGAGGGGGGGGGGUGGGGGGUUCAUCAAUGCAUCUGAAAAGGGACAUGUAGUUGGAUUAACCCCCCUUUUGUCCUGGGGUAGGACCCCCCUUUUUUAAAUGGCUGGAUCUGCCCCUAUAAUUUAUAAUGGUAUCGGGAUCGUUCGCCCUGAUUACAUGUUCGCCCUAGGUUCGUUCGCACUGAGUUUGUUCGCCCUGGUAAUCCGUUCGCCCUGGGUUCGUUCGCCCUAUUUUCAUUUAUGAUAUGUAUAUGUAUUUUUAUUGCUGAUUAGGUAUGAUUUGAAAUCUUUGAUAUCACUGAUUGGUAUAUGAAUUGCCUUUGAUAGAUUAAUAAUGAAAAUAACAUUUUUCUCAAAUAAAAUAGUCAGUUGGAUGGGUAAAACACUGAUGUACAAAUUGUUAGGCAUGAACUUAUAACCUAGUACAGCUAGCUGUAGACAACAUAAUACAUCGUAAAUAUUCGGCGAAAUUGUAGACCGACUUCAACAUAUUUAAUUAAAUACACACAACACAACACUAUACUAAAAAAUAAAAAUCGUAAAUAUUCGGCGAAAUUGUAGACUGACUUCAACAUAUUCAAUUAAAUACACACAACACAACACUAUAAUAAAAAAUAAAAAUCAGGUAUCAGGGCGAACGGUCUCAGGGCGAAACGGAACUAGGGCGAACCGAAAUCAGGGCAGACGGACCUGGAUUCAUUUAUAAUAUAAAAGGUAGUCCAAAUAAUUAUGACGUCUUGAAAGCGGGUCUGAUCCCCACAGGCACUUGUUUCUAUCCAUACGAAGGUCGACUAUCCAUAUAAAUAGUCUAUCCGUACGAAGGUCCACUAUCCAUAUAAAUAGAAUCUAUUUAUAUGGAUAGUUGACCUUCAUAUGGAUAGAAACAAGUGCCUGUGCUGAUCCCGGAUCACACUCAUUGUUUAGUGAGAAUCCUAUAUCCAACUUCUAGUUGCCAAAUUAGUGCUUGUAAUUUCUUUUACUAUUUUCACUCUUAAAUAUUAUUUAUUACUUUUACGUGUCAAGCUUAAUAAAAAUCAGCCAAUCACGCUUAGACCCCAAUGAGACCCACUUGAAAUGGUGUCAAAGCAAAAAAAAUUAAUAGCCUUUCAAGAUUUCAUAAUUAUUUGGACUAAAGUCUAUAUAAAAGGAUACUCAAAUAGACAGUACAAUUAAAGUAUAAGUGAGUUUUUACAAGAGUUAAGAUUGUUCAUACCAGACUUUAAUAUACAUCCAAGAGAGACAAUCCAGUGUCAAACAGCAACACCUACUAAAUACAGACCUUAUCGUUAUUUGGAAAUCUACGUUGCAGUGCUUGACCUAAGAAUCUGCUCCUUUGAAUUUUUAAUAUCCUACGGCAAUCACUUUUCCAUUAUCAUAAUGGCAUCAGAUUUUUCUGUGUUUUACCAGAAGCUCUGUGAUUGUCCAGUAAUGCCUAAUGGCAGACAAAUAGACCCCUUGAAUGACAUAGGUGCUGAUUAUCAAUUAUAAAAAAAUAAUUUGCUGAAUAAUUCAUGCAAUAUAGCAUCAUAUAAAUAUAACAUUCACAGACAGAAAUCUUCCUUAUCGGAAUAAUUGUUCAAAUGUACCCAUACAUUUUUUUCAGAUAAAAACUAUGCGGUUGACAUGCAAUGUAGAUUUGGUGAAUAGAAAUCUUCCAUCAGCUAAUAUUAAAAAAUCAAGUAAAGCUCAGCAUACACAAUUGUCUAUUGGUAAAAAACCAGGUGGGGGAUCAAAAGAGGCUCCAUUAUUUUUAAUGAUGUGUACAGCCAAAG
Molecule: long non-coding RNA, 2031 nt
Filed under: Mytilus galloprovincialis (Mediterranean mussel)
Lineage: Eukaryota; Metazoa; Mollusca; Bivalvia; Mytilida; Mytilidae
Source: RNAcentral